Long non-coding RNA from Gordionus sp. m RMFG-2023, 601 nucleotides. RefSeq lists it as uncharacterized. Lineage: Eukaryota; Metazoa; Nematomorpha; Gordioida; Chordodea; Parachordodidae. The record is from RefSeq and is a predicted model, not a curated record. The transcript has 4 exons.
CAAAAAAUUGGUCGAGGUCAAACAAGGGCCUAUAGAUGUAGUCGCUAUCAUCGAAUCAACUUCUCCGAGCAUUCAAGAUUAUGAAUGCAUACUUUCUAUCUCUUACGGUACUUACUAUCAACUCCAACGUAAUAACCCAAUAGGACCUAAAGGAGCAGGCUUUGGAGUCGUGACUUAUGACACUUGGGCUAAAGUUCACUUGAAAUUGAAUUCAGCAACUUCUUAUCUCGAAGUUUCUAGAUAUCCCGAACCCAUUAUUUCAAAAAAAAAGUGCCUCGAUUUAGAAAAAGCAUUGAAACUUGCCAAAAAGGAGCUUACAAAGAAUGGGAGAGAUAAAUCUAUAAAACAAAUAUGGGUUAAUAUAUCAGAAAAAUCAGGUGGAAAUCCGGAGAAAAUAGCGCAAACUAUCAAAAAAUGGGGGAUCGAAAUAUUUGUCCUUGCUAUCGGCUCGAAUAUCGACUCUAAGCAAAUAGACGCGAUAGCCACGGAUCAUGAUCACAUAUUUUGGUAUCCUGAUUAUUGUACCUCCUCACAAUCUCUCAUUGAAUUCGUCAACAAAAAAUUUUUAUCUCCAUUUUAAUUUUUUAAAAAAAGGGUUUAU